GUUGAAUACACAUACACAAGUUAUCACUUUCCUGCAAAAGUGGACAUUCAUAGAUUAAUUAAUUAUAACUUCUGAAGUUUACAAAGUGAAGUACAGUUUACAUUUUACUAUAUCCUUAUUUUAAUCUCAGAUGGAAGCUUAACAAACUUGUUUCCUGUGAACAUGAGGUAGGAUUGUUAAUAUUUUCCCUUUUGUCAUAGAUAUAAUAUCACUAAUUUCUCCUCCUUUUUUUUUUGAAUUUGAAAACGAGGCAAAUUAACCACAUAUCACGUGUAAUCACAUCAGGAAGCUUAUUGGUAAAUAUAUCAAGCAUUUUUCAAAGCCACAAGGUGAUUUAGUUAUCUAGAUAUUGGCUUUUUAAGAACAAGGUAAUGUUAACUAAUAAGGUAAAAUUCAGUACAUAUUACAGUUUCACCUGUCUGUGUGCUUUUCUAACAAGAACUCUGAGAUGUUGUUUUCUGAUGCUUAUUUAAAGAAAUUGGAAUCAACCCACUAUCUUAUAAGAAUACUAAUAAGUAUAUUCUUAAAACAGUACAAGAAUAUGUAGUAAAAUUUUAAAUCAAUUUCAGCCCCAUGAUUUCAGAUCCUAACCUGUUAUAGUCUUGUUAGUGCAGUACAUUUACACAGUUUUAGUCACCAUUUAUAUUUUGUUCUUUGGGCAAACUUAUAACAUGACCUGAGACAUCUGUUAUUUUUCUCAAACCAUUAAACAUUUUUUUAAAAGACUUGAGUGAUUGUACAGUAACUCCAUUAUGGGAUUAUAUUUUAGUUAAUUUUUCUUAUUUUAGGUAAAUAUACAAAUUCCUUUUUUUAUACCUAAGCAAGUAAAUAAGCUUUUAUAAUUACAUUUUAGUAGAUACACAUUUUUCGAAAUGAAACGUAGAUUUUUGUUUCCCUAAUAACUACUUUAUCAGCUUUUUCUUAUAAGGUUCUUUGGUGAUUUAAAUGUGUAUCCAUCCAGUGUGUAAUGGACUGUUUCUACACAGUUGACUGAUAGUCAUAAAAUGAAUUGCUGAGAGUGGUUUAUAUAACUGUAUUGUCAACAGUAAUGAAUCAUGUUAAAGCCUUGAUCAUUGUCAGACAGCAUCAACCUUGUUAAAAUGAGAAUUGAGGGAUGAUGCUCUAAGGUCUGUCUAUUCAUAUCUAACUAAGGCGAAUGGAUACCACCCUCACUUUGCUCUUUUCUGUUUCUUCUGUAUUUAUUCUGGAAUUCUAGCAUUCUCUUCUUUGGUUUGCCACCUUUUGUGCUGCCAGCUGUGUGUGUUUCCAGUAGUUCAGGUGACUGGAAGAUUUAAAAUGAUAUGUCCAACAUAUUGGGGAAAGAGGCAGGGUGGGGGUGUUGACAGACACCAAGCUUUGGAGGAGAAAGUUUUUAAGUAGUUGGUGACCCACAUUCAGGCCCAAAGACAGUUUAAAGCAUUCUUUAUUAGUUUUUGUUGCUGAUGUAAAUACACAUAAAUAAUUACUUAUGAUUAGGAAGCAGAAACUGGGGACAGCGUGUUAGUUCAGAUUUAUUCUGCAAGAAACAACUAUGACAUAAUAAAAGGGAUUGACAAGUCUAGUUAUUCUAGUCAGUAAUUUGUAUUUAGAUAAAUUUAAAUUCACUUUAGAUUUUCUAAUUCUAUAGGUUAUCUUUUUGAAUCUGGUAAAGCUAAAGCCAUUAUGCAAAUCUACAUAACAGGUCUCUAAGAGCUGUGUUUUUGCCACAGAUCCCUAAGAUUUAUUUCAAGGUUGCUUCCAAAAUGAUACCUUCCUUCCUCUUGUUCUGCUUUCAUUUACGUUUUAGUUUGUCAGUCUUUUCUAAGAUGCCACCUACAUAAACAUCAAAAAUAAUAAAAAGAAAUCAAGCAAGUAUGUGCAUAUUUCCCAGUACCAGCAACAAGCCAGUUGCCCUCCUUGAUAAUGUUUACUCUAAAGCCAAGAAUCAAUCCAUCUUUCCUUCCUUCCCUCCCUCUCCCUCCUUCCUUCCAUCUCUUUCCCUCCCUCCCUCUUUUUCAGGGAAGUAGUAGGAGAAUAGAAGGGGGUUCUACUGCAUUUAUUCUGCAUAAUCCCUUAACUGAUCUUUAUUGUGAGUUUAUUCUACAAAUUUUAAGUGCUAAUUGAAAGAUUUUUUUCAAGCAGUAUGGUUUGUACAAAUAUGAGUACAUUUUCACAUACUUUUAGUUCAUCAUUUUUGUGUCCUGAUAGAUUUUUCCCUCUUCCUAGCAGAAGAGAAUACAUCUUUGCUAUUGUGUAUCCAUUACAAAUGGAUGUUGAAUAAUAAAUUGAACAUAUGCCCUUGCUGAUUUAGCAAUGAAAAUAUUAGUAUAAUGUUUGGUAAGUUUACCCAAUCAUUAUAAUACUAAACAUGCUUAACACUAGUUGACGCUUUUAAAAUAAUUACUCUGUCUUUCAAAUUACUUUUAGUACCCAAUGUCUCUUAGCUUGCAUUUUAACACUAUUAUAUUCAUUUUAGCACCUUUUCACUAUUUCUGGAUAAUGAGCUUUGGUAAGGUAAUACCUAUACUUUUCAUUUCUGUAUUUCAGUACCUACCCCAGUGUCUAAUAUGUUGUGUAUUUGCUAAAUGUUUAUUAAGUCAUGGGAAUAAGCCUUUUUAAGGCUAUCCAGACACUAUGUGAAGCUUAUCAGACAUGCCUUUUUAAUUCCCCAUCAUCCUGAUUGAGUGCUCUGUAUGUGGUCAGUGUUGCUUAUAUUCCUGCUAAACUGAAAUAUGGAAAAUUAGCAAUAGUUUAUUCAUAUAACCUACUUAAUGUCUGCUUAUUUAAAAUGGAAAAUGAAUCUUAUAAUUUAAGUCUGUAAAUACACCAGAAUGCUCCUGUUCUACAAAGUUGACAUAAUUUCCCAUUAUUGUUAGUAUCCUCUUAAUUGAUCCAUGUCUCCUAUUCCCAUUUGUUGGUAAAAAAGAAAAUAUAUGUAUGUUCACACACUGCGUAAUGACAUUUUGAUCAGUGGACCACAUAGAUCACUAUGUUCCCAUCAGAUUACAUUGCCUAGUGUGGCCGUCUUUGUGCAAGUACACUCUGAUGUUUUCAUCACAAUGAAAUUGAUGAGCAACACUUUUCUUAGAAUGUAUCCCGAUUGUUAAGCAGCACAUGACUCUGUCUGCUUAUGGUACGCUUUUAGGGAAACAGGAAAAAUGAAAAUUGAAAUUCUAAGAAAUUCUUUAGGGGAAGAGAAAACUAGCAUAUUAUAUGAUAGAUGGAGAGGGCUGUCCUUAAGUGUUGAAAGUCAUUUAUUAAACUAUCAUCCGAGUCCCCCACUCCACUACUAGCUUCUGAAAUGAAAGAGAAAUGGAAUAAGACAAAAAAAUUAAAGGGUCACUUUUGUGUUACCUAAUGUCUUCAUUGUGCCAGUAGAUAUAAUUGAAAGGUGACUGGGUAAAAGCUCUCUGGUACCAAAAGUAUAAUUCUAACUAGUCUCUUUUCUCACUCAUGUUAAAACCAGCUAAGCAAACUCAAGUCCAUUGGAAUAUGAAGGUCAUUUUACAUAUGUAUGUGAGGCACUUUUUCUUCUCUUAGUUUUUAAAAAUGACAAAUGACACAUUUUUUAAAAGUAUUUUUUAUGUGUAUAGUCUCCUUAAUUUAUUAUGAGUCCUAGGAAAAAAGGAUCAGUUCAUUUCAUUCAACAAGUUACUAGUUGUAUACUCUGGCAAAUAUUAUUUUACAGGAUUAGCAAUGAAUAGAGCUCACAAAAAUCCCUGCUCUUGUAGAGUUUACUUUCAAGUACAGACAGACUACCCAAAAAAUGUUGUUAAAUUUUAUGUAUGUGUGUGUUAGAUGGUAUGGAGAAAACUAAUGCAGGGAAGGGAAAUAGAAACAUGGAAUAUGUGCUGGGUGAGAGAAAGGGGAGGUUGCUAUUCACUUAUAAAAAGGGUAGUCAAGAACGAAUUAAGGGUAAAGGAUAUACCAAAUAGGGGAAAAGUAUUCCAGGCAGAGGGAAUAGCAAGUGAAAAGGCUGCAUUCCAUGGGAAGAACAAGCUUAACACAUUCCAAAAAGAAAAAGGUAAGCAACAAGGACAGGAGUAGAAGGCUAGGGCAGGAUGGCUGUAGAUGCACAGAUCAUGUAGGGUCUUACAUUGUAAGGCAUAUGGCUGGUAUUCAAAAUAAGAUGGGAAACCACCAGAAGGUGUUUUUAGCCAAAAAGUGACAGGAUAUGACUUAGGUGUACUUGAAAUUAGAUUACUGUUAGGGAAGAGACUUGGGUUGGUGUUAAGGUGGGGAAUUAGGAAUAAGGCAAUCACGGGACUAAUGCAGUAAUCCUGGGAAGAGAGAAUGAUGACUUCAACCUGGGUGGCAGUGAUAUAGGUAAUACGAAAUGAUAAAGUUACAGUUGAAGAUAGAGCUAACAAGAUUUUGUGAUACUUUGACUUUGGGGUGGGGGUGGGGGUGGGCAUGAAAAAGGAAUGAAGCAUGUAGGACUUGAGCAAAUUGAAGGGUAUAGUUUUCAUAAGCUGAGAAUAGGAUUGGGAGAAGUUAGGUUUGGUUUUUUUUUUUUAUGCCUAUUAGACCUGGAAAUGGAGGUGUCAGGACAAUGAACAUACAAAUCUGUGAUUCAGGAAUAAGUUCUGUAAAUUUGGGACUCAAGUAAAUAGAUGUAUAGCUUUGAGAGUAUAUAGGCUCAUCAGGGGAAUGAAUGCCGUUAGAAAAGAAAGAGGUCUUAGCAUUGCCAUACUGAGAGGAGGAAAUCAGCAAAGAACCCCAGGAAAGAACAGUGAAAAAGUAAAAGAAAAGCCAGGAGUGUGAGGACCUGGGAUGGAAGUGAAAAGUUUCAGGGAAGUAGGAAUGAUCUGCAUCUAGUGCUACUGGUAAAUAAGAUGAGGGCCUGAAUAACCAUGUUACUUAGCAGUUUAGGAGUGAUAGUUGGUGACUUGUAUGGGCACACUUUUUUGGGGAGUGAUGAGAUCCAAGCUUGAUUGGAGAUGACACUGAAGGAAAGAAAUUUGAGGCAGUAUUUUUCUGUGAUUAUUGCACAUGUAAGCCCAAGUAGACUCUAAACUUUUUUCCCUCGACUUACAGAAUAUGGCUCUUCUUUCUUAAGUUUAAUUGAUCAUUACAGUAUUCUUCAGAAUAUUUCACACAGUGACAGGUGGUAGUUGCUUUAAUUUUGCCUAAUUUGUAAAGGGCAUCUGGGUCUUGAUUUUGUUUUCUUCCGGUCCUGCUAUUUUAUCCAGGUGCUUGGAUAUCCCUUAUCUAUAGGAACUGUUUAAAACCCAUUCUUCACACUACUAUUACAUUCAUCUUCCCAUAGUAAGCUCUGUCAGGACAGUCUGCUCACAGAAGUCAGUGGUUGCCCAUUCUUUACCCAAUUCAAGUCCUGAUUUCUUAAAAACCUGGCUUUCUUUCACUACAUCACUGUAGUGUGCUACAUGACGAAGCAACAUCUAUGAAAAUCGCAAUUUCAGAUACACUUGUUUUGUAGUGACAUACUAGAGUCACUCUGCCAACGGCAGCAGUUGCAUCAAUCAUUUAAAAAUAUUUCCUCAGAAAAAUAGCAAUAGUGACUCACAAACACUCCUUAAACCACUGACUUCUUUAAGGACUACAAGUCUCUGAUGCACCAGCAUUUUUGUAAUUUAUUUUACUACCAAUAGUUCAAAAUAUUGGUUCAUGUAACCUUAUUGCUGGCCAUGUAGUCAAGCAUCAGAAAAUGGAUUGCUUAAGAUACUUUGCUAGGCACACCAGUAUUUUAAAUGUGAACCAAGGCUCUUGUGCUUCAAGACAGAUGGUGCAUUGCUUCUAUGCCUAAGAGCAUUUGGCAGUGCUGAAAUUGAGCCUUCUGUUCAGUCCAAAAUAAUUCAGUGAUGAGUGGGCAACUUUAUACUUCAAUUUUUUUUUUUCCCUGGAUUUGAGUAUUUGGAGAUGUUUUUUAGCUUAACUUUAACUAUACCAAAGCACCUUCAUAAAAUGGUACUACAGGCAUAGACAUGUAUUUUUCAGUUUAAUGUAUGUUUCAUUUUAUGAAGGUGCUUUGGUAUAGUUAAAGUUAAGCUAAAUUAUUUUCAUUAUAGUGAUGUUUCCAUUAAGACUGAUAAGUAUUCAGCCAUGUUUAAACAUGGGCAUAAAACAAUCUGAAUUUAAAGUUGAUUGUUAGCUAAGCUCAAAAGGGAGUUCUUUUUUGUGUGUGUGUGUGUGUUCAAUGAUUGAUUUUUAUUUUUUUUUUAUUGUUGGUUGUUCAAAACAUUACAUAGUUCUUGAUAUAUCAUCUUUCACACUUUGCUUCAAGUGGGUUAUGAACUCCCAUUUUUAGCCCAUAUACAGAUUGCAGAAUCACAUCAAUUACACAUCCAUUGAUUUACAUAUUGCCAUACUAGUGACUGUCAUGUUCUGCUGCCUUUCCUAUCCUCUACUAUCCCCCCUCCCCUCCCCUCCCCACCCCUCUUCUCUCUCUACCCCCUCUACUGACCUUCAUUUCUCCCCCUUGUAUUUCUUUCAAACUGAAGUGAAUUUAAAGGAACGGAGGAUUAUAGAUCACACAAUGGUCAUUUCAUUCCCUUGGUUAAUACCUCUUCUCAGGCACUUUGCUUGAAUAGCAUUUCUUUAUUUAAAGCUGACAAAGAUUACAAGACUAGUAUCUCAAAUGGUAUCUAGAGUACAGCAUCUCUAAAGUCCUUUAACAUCUCUUAAAUAUUUUAUUAACUAAAAUUAGAAAUUGUUUUGUAUUCAUUUUUACUGAGAUCUUGUUAGAACCCUCAGUGAUUAACUAGAAAUGUAUUUUUUUCUCUUCAUUUAUUUUCCAAGUAGGCUUUUAUAAUUCUGGUUAUCAUUUUGGGAACACUGAGUAUUAAAUAUAGGAUGCCAAAAGCCACAAGAAGACAAGACACUCCAGUGAGAACUCCUGAAGAGAAACAGCCAAAGUUCUUCCUAUUCUGUACUCUUGAGUUGUGGUUGUUAAAGUGAUGGAGGAGGAGGGUUGAUUUGUGGGAGAAGAUUAUACUGUAUGGAAAAAGAUUUACUCCUUUGAACCUGCAUUAAAAAUAUUGUCUUGCUUGUUCUCGUAAUGUUGAAAGGAUAAAGAGAUCAAUAAAGUUUACCCAGAUUCUGUAAAUUGAUCUUGUUUCUAUUUUCUUAACAUUCCAGGGAAGCCAAGAGCAUAGGAAGCAGUGGAUUCUGGUUGUAGAAAUUUUGGUAUUGAUUCUGUGGUG
This 7142-nucleotide long non-coding RNA is filed under the name Marmota monax (woodchuck). The record is from RNAcentral. Lineage: Eukaryota; Metazoa; Chordata; Mammalia; Rodentia; Sciuridae.